AGAGUUUGAUCCUGGCUCAGAUUGAACGCUGGCGGUAUGCUUAACACAUGCAAGUCGAACGGUAGCAGCAGAGCUUGCUCUGGCUGACGAGUGGCGGACGGGUGCGUAACGCGUGGGAAUUUACCUUGUAGUGGGGGAUAGCCCGGAGAAAUCCGGAUUAAUACCGCAUAAUCUCUACGGAGCAAAGUGGGGGAUCUUCGGACCUCACGCUAUUAGAUGAGCCCGCGUUAGAUUAGCUUGUUGGUGAGGUAAUGGCUCACCAAGGCGACGAUCUAUAGCUGGUUUGAGAGGAUGAUCAGCCACACUGGGACUGAGACACGGCCCAGACUCCUACGGGAGGCAGCAGUGGGGAAUAUUGCACAAUGGGCGAAAGCCUGAUGCAGCCAUGCCGCGUGUGUGAAGAAGGCCUUCGGGUUGUAAAGCACUUUCAGUUGUGAGGAAAGGGGUGUAGUUAAUAGCUGCAUCCUAUGACGUUAGCAACAGAAGAAGCACCGCUAACU
Molecule: ribosomal RNA, 500 nt
Filed under: uncultured bacterium
Lineage: Bacteria
Description: bacterial SSU rRNA
Rfam family: Bacterial small subunit ribosomal RNA
Source: RNAcentral